AACGAACGCUGGCGGCAGGCCUAACACAUGCAAGUCGAGCGAGGACUUCGGUUCUAGCGGCGGACGGGUGAGUAACGCGUGGGAAUGUGCCCUUCUCUACGGAAUAUCCCUGGGAAACUGGGAGUAAUACCGUAUACGCCCUUUUGGGGAAAGAUUUAUCGGGGAAGGAUCAGCCCGCGUUGGAUUAGGUAGUUGGUAGGGUAAUGGCCUACCAAGCCGACGAUACAUAGCUGGUUUGAGAGGAUGAUCAGCCACACUGGGAAUGAGACACGGCACAGACUACUACGGGAGGGAGCAGUGGGGAAUAUUAGAAAAUGGGGGCAAAGAUGAACAAGCCAUGACGGGUGAGUGAUGAAGGCAUUAGGGUAGUAAAGCAAUAUCAGAUGGGAAGAUAAUGACGGUAACAGAAGAAGAAGCACCGGCUAACUACGUG
RNAcentral lists this ribosomal RNA (433 nucleotides) under uncultured bacterium. RNAcentral describes it as "partial 16S ribosomal RNA". It matches the Rfam family "Bacterial small subunit ribosomal RNA", at positions 30 to 507 of the family's 1533-position model. The record is from RNAcentral.